UACAGAGGUCUCAAGCGUUGUUCGGAUUCAUUGGGCGUAAAGGGUGCGUAGGUGGUGGGGUAAGUCGGAUGUGAAAUCCCGGGGCCCAACCCCGGAACUGCAUUCGAUACUGCCUUGCUCGAGUACUGGAGAGGAGACUGGAAUUUACGGUGUAGCAGUGAAAUGCGUAGAUAUCGUAAGGAAGACCAGUGGCGAAGGCGAGUCUCUGGACGGUUACUGACACUGAGGCACGAAGGCCAGGGGAGCAAACGGG
Molecule: ribosomal RNA, 253 nt
Filed under: uncultured bacterium
Lineage: Bacteria
Description: partial 16S ribosomal RNA
Rfam family: Bacterial small subunit ribosomal RNA
Source: RNAcentral